UCCGAUGACCAAAUCACAAGGAACGCGAAACCGAAUCUCAUCGGAUCCCAGAAGCUAAGCAGAUUUGAGCCUGGACAGUGCUUGGAUGGGCGAUCACCGCACCACGAAACAGGUGCUGUAGGCU
This 124-nucleotide ribosomal RNA is filed under the name Petromyzon marinus (sea lamprey). Lineage: Eukaryota; Metazoa; Chordata; Hyperoartia; Petromyzontiformes; Petromyzontidae. The record is from RNAcentral.